GUGGGGAAUCUUCCGCAAUGGACGAAAGUCUGACGGAGCGACGCCGCGUGAGUGAAGAAGGCCUUCGGGUCGUAAAGCUCUGUCAUCAGGGACGAACGGCCGGUGGAGUGGAAAGCCACCGGAUUGACGGUACCUGAGAAGGAAGCCACGGCUAACUACGUGCCAGCAGCCGCGGUAAUACGUAGGUGGCAAGCGUUGUCCGGAAUUAUUUGGCGUAAAGCGCGCGCAGGUGGGAUCUUAAGUCCAUUUUUAAAGUUCGGAGCUCAACUCCGUGAUGGGAUGGAAACUGGGAUUCUUGAGUACCGGAGAGGAAAGCGGAAUUCCCCGGGUAGCGGUGAAAUGCGUAGAUAUGGGGAGGAACACCAGUGGCGAAGGCGGCUUUCUGGACGGUGUCUGACACUGAGGCGCGAAAGCCAGGGGAGCGAACGGGAUUAGAAACCCGGGUAGUCC
RNAcentral lists this ribosomal RNA (450 nucleotides) under uncultured bacterium. Its description in RNAcentral is "partial 16S ribosomal RNA". It matches the Rfam family "Bacterial small subunit ribosomal RNA", at positions 354 to 796 of the family's 1533-position model. The record is from RNAcentral.